Molecule: ribosomal RNA, 460 nt
Filed under: uncultured bacterium
Lineage: Bacteria
Description: partial 16S ribosomal RNA
Rfam family: Bacterial small subunit ribosomal RNA
Source: RNAcentral
CCUACGGGCGACAGCAGUGAGGAAUAUUGGUCAAUGGGCUUACGCCUGAACCAGCCAAGUCGCGUGAGGGAAGACUGCCCUAUGGGUUGUAAACCUCUUUUGUCAGUGAGCAACGCCGGCUACGUGUAGCCGGACUGAGAGUACCUGACGAAAAAGCAUCGGCUAACUCCGUGCCAGCAGCCGCGGUAAUACGGAGGAUGCGAGCGUUAUCCGGAUUUAUUGGGUUUAAAGGGUGCGUAGGCGGAAUGCCAAGUCAGCGGUAAAAUCGCGGGGCUCAACCUCGCUCAGCCGUUGAAACUGGCGGUCUUGAGUGGGCGAGAAGUAUGCGGAAUGCGUGGUGUAGCGGUGAAAUGCAUAGAUAUCACGCAGAACGCCGAUUGCGAAGGCAGCAUACCGGCGCCCAACUGACGCUGAAGCACGAAAGCGUGGGUAUCGAACAGGAUUAGAUACCCUUGUAGUC